Molecule: ribosomal RNA, 308 nt
Filed under: uncultured eukaryote
Lineage: Eukaryota
Description: partial 18S ribosomal RNA
Rfam family: Eukaryotic small subunit ribosomal RNA
Source: RNAcentral
CCCUUAGACGUUCUGGGCCGCACGCGCGCUACACUGACGAAGGCAACGAGCUUUCCUUUACCGAAAGGUACGGGUAAUCUUUUGAAACUUCGUCGUGCUGGGGAUAGAUCCUUGCAAUUUUUGAUCUUAAACGAGGAAUUCCUAGUAAGCGCAAGUCAUCAACUUGCGUUGAUUACGUCCCUGCCCUUUGUACACACCGCCCGUCGCUACUACCGAUUGAAUGGUUUAGUGAGGCCUUCGGAUCCGCGACUCGUUUUGUGGAGAAGUUGGACAAACUCAGUCAUUUAGAGGAAGUAAAAGGCGGAACA